This 1351-nucleotide ribosomal RNA is filed under the name uncultured bacterium. RNAcentral describes it as "partial 16S ribosomal RNA". It matches the Rfam family "Bacterial small subunit ribosomal RNA", at positions 27 to 1367 of the family's 1533-position model. The record is from RNAcentral.
GGAUGAACGCUAGCGACAGGCUUAACACAUGCAAGUCGAGGGGCAGCGGGGUUGUAGCAAUACAACUGCCGGCGACCGGCGCACGGGUGAGUAACACGUAUGUAACCUGCCCUCUGCAGGGGGAUAAGCGGAAGAAAUUCCGUCUAAUACCGCAUAAUACAAUUUGGAGACAUCUCCGGGUUGUCAAAGGAGUGAUCCGGCAGAGGAUGGACAUGCGGCGCAUUAGCUAGUCGGCGGGGUAACGGCCCACCGAGGCUACGAUGCGUAGGGGUUCUGAGAGGAAGGUCCCCCACACUGGUACUGAGACACGGACCAGACUCCUACGGGAGGCAGCAGUGAGGAAUAUUGGUCAAUGGGCGGAAGCCUGAACCAGCCAAGUCGCGUGAGGGAAGACGGUCCUAUGGAUUGUAAACCUCUUUUGCAGGGGAGCAAGGCGCGGUACGUGUACCGCGAAGGAGAGUACCCUGAGAAAAAGCAUCGGCUAACUCCGUGCCAGCAGCCGCGGUAAUACGGAGGAUGCGAGCGUUAUCCGGAUUUAUUGGGUUUAAAGGGUGCGCAGGCGGACUGUUAAGUCAGCGGUAAAAUGUCGGUGCUCAACACCGGCCGGCCGUUGAAACUGGCAGCCUUGAGUGAGCGAGAAGUAUGCGGAAUGCGUGGUGUAGCGGUGAAAUGCAUAGAUAUCACGCAGAACUCCGAUUGCGAAGGCAGCAUACCGGCGCUCAACUGACGCUCAGGCACGAAAGCGUGGGUAUCGAACAGGCUUAGAUACCCUAGUAGUCCACGCAGUAAACGAUGAAUGCUCACUGUCCGGGCCGUUUAAGGCCUGGGUGGUCAAGCGAAAGCGUUAAGCAUUCCACCUGGGGAGUACGCCGGCAACGGUGAAACUCAAAGGAAUCGACGGGGGCCCGCACAAGCGGAGGAACAUGUGGUUUAAUUCGAUGAUACGCGAGGAACCUUACCCGGGCUCAAACGGAAGGGGACAGUAUGAGAAAUCAUACAUUCCUUCGGGACCGCUUCCGAGGUGCUGCAUGGUUGUCGUCAGCUCGUGCCGUGAGGUGUCGGCUUAAGUGCCAUAACGAGCGCAACCCCUAUCGACAGUUGCUAGCAGGUAAAGCUGAGGACUCUGUCGAGACUGCCGGCGCAAGCUGUGAGGAAGGCGGGGAUGACGUCAAAUCAGCACGGCCCUUACGUCCGGGGCGACGCACGUGUUACAAUGGCAGGUACAGCGGGAAGCCACCCGGCGACGGGGCGCAGAACCCGAAAACCUGUCUCAGCUCGGAUUGGAGUCUGCAACCCGACUCCAUGAAGCUGGAUUCGAUAGUAAUCGCGCAUCAGCCACGGCGCGGUGAAU